UGAAUUUACGGUGCAAAACGAACAGGAGUGCAUCCCUUAGUGUGCCUAUGCUACUGACUUGUGAUAAAAUUUGUCCAACGAUUGUGUUUAACACAUUUUAUCUCACCCAAUUAUCUGCAUUAGCUAAUUAAGGUAAUCGUAUCAGUCGAGAAGCGCUGAAUGCAACUUCUCCCGGUGUUUUGGUCAUGAACAAUAGGCCAGAAGAAAAACCAUUGUGAAUUAUUUGGAUCAAUUGAGAAAAUAGUAACUCCAAUUUUCCUGACUAUGAAUCCAUGUUCAUUUGCUUUGAAUCCGGGAUAUACCUAAAAGUCCAAGGCAAAUAAUGGAUGAGCCCAAAUAAUACUUCUUACUAUUUGUAGAGUUAGCAAUGCCAUAUGUCAUUUACCAGAAUUUUUGAGUCAAGAAAAUGAUCAAGAUGGCAGACAUGAACGAGAAUGUCUUUUGACAUAAUCGGCUGCACUGUGAAAUGAUCCCUUAUAUCCUGGAUAAGCUCUUAUUAUUGCAUUUACUUGCUGUAAAGAAAAACACGAGAAGCGUUUUCAUAAGCUUCCUGAGGAAACUUUCUUUUAUCCUAUAUGCCAUUUGAAAACUAUCUUGCAUUCAUUUUGAUAUGUGAACAGCACAUAAUGUUAAGGAAAUGAAUCAUACUAUAUAUCCCACAAAAGAAGCAACUUAAGCUGAAUUCACUACCCAAUUUGAUCAAAGCUUCUGUGGUUGAUGAUGUUAGAUGCCUAUUAGUUGGAUUGAAAGAGUUGAAAAAGAAAAUUAAUAUUGAGUUCGACAAACAAAGAUGUGUAUAUGUUGGGUAUAAUGAGUAGUUUGCUGAUGUUAGUUGCUAGAUUGAUUACAUUUUAUUCACUGGCGCGAUUUGGUCAUUAUUCCACCAGUUGUGAUGUAAAUGCUGAAAUAUCCAAAGGAGCUUUAGAAAGGCACUUCAUAAAGGAAAAAAAUUAAUCAAAGGAUCAAGAGCUCGAUGUUUCUUGGACUUCUCCAAACUUUGACAAUGCAUCCUUGGAAAGUGAUCGAGAGCCUUUGGUGACACUAACGCCUCGGAUUAUGCCUGGUCAGCCUAAAGAGAUAAGGAUAACAGAGGAAGGAGAAUCUAAAAAUGGACUCAAAUUGUCAUGACAAGGUACAGAAAUUACAUUGAAACAAAAGAAACAGAUGAAGAGAUGGCCAGACAAAGAGAAGCCAACCAACUUGUCACGGAGAUGCAUCAUAACAAUGCCACCAAUCAAAAGCAGCAAAAGGUAGACAAUAUGAAAAAGAAGCAAGAGGGUGGAGCAUUUGAAGGACAUUGGAAGUGUUGGAUCAACAAGAUCUCCAAGGAAGAGGAAAAUUCACCAGAAGUAGCUGUAUGAAGAGUUGGAAGUCUGAUAUAUUUUAGUACUUUGUGUUGUUAUGAUAAUCUUCAAUUAAGAUCAAGAGAUGGAUCUUGUUGUUUAUAUUUUUCUGCUAGUGUUUAAGAUGUGGGAAUGAUACUGUUAAGACCACAAGCAUUCUGCGCAACAGCCUUUUUGUGCCUGGGAGUGCGUUUGAUAUUUGAAAAGAAAGUGCAGUUGGCCUUACUUU
Syzygium oleosum is the source of this 1572-nucleotide long non-coding RNA. RefSeq lists it as uncharacterized. The transcript has 4 exons. The record is from RefSeq and is a predicted model, not a curated record. Lineage: Eukaryota; Viridiplantae; Streptophyta; Magnoliopsida; Myrtales; Myrtaceae.